This 203-nucleotide long non-coding RNA is filed under the name Panax ginseng (ginseng). RNAcentral's name for it is "long non-coding RNA (PGIN_LNC009659)". The record is from RNAcentral. Lineage: Eukaryota; Viridiplantae; Streptophyta; Magnoliopsida; Apiales; Araliaceae.
GCUUGAAUUUGCAUAAUAGGUUGGUUAGGAAUAUGAAAGCUAACAACCUUACGAAAGCAAUAAAUUUUUGCAUGAUGAGUAGUUAAUCAAUCAAUCCCUAGAAUCACAUCAAAUGCAAGUAUUUUCAAAGAAUAAGAUCGACAGGUAACGUGUGGAUGCCGAUUUGAACUAAACAAGACUUAUAAACAGUGGAUGUAAUGAAG